This 107-nucleotide small nuclear RNA is filed under the name Echinops telfairi (small Madagascar hedgehog). Lineage: Eukaryota; Metazoa; Chordata; Mammalia; Afrosoricida; Tenrecidae. The record is from RNAcentral.
AUGCUCGCGUCGGCAGCACAUAUACAAAAAUUGGAAUGAUACGGAGAAGAUUAGCAUGGCCCUUGCGCAAGGAUGACACGCAAAUUCGCGAAGCGUUCCAUAUUUUU